UAAGCAGAGCGUGAAGCGUAUGGCUCAACCAUAUAUACAUGUUCUGAACUGCUAAGCUUGAGUAUGAGAGAGGUAGCUGGAAUUCCUAGUGUAGGAGUGAAAUCCGUAGAUAUUAGGAGGAACACCAAUGGCGUAGGCAGGCUACUGGCUCAUUACUGACACUAAGGCACGAAAGCGUGGGAGCAAACGGGAUUAGAUACCCCGGUAGUCCACGCCGUAAACUAUGGAUGCUA
Molecule: ribosomal RNA, 233 nt
Filed under: uncultured Candidatus Saccharibacteria bacterium
Lineage: Bacteria; Candidatus Saccharimonadota
Description: partial 16S ribosomal RNA
Rfam family: Bacterial small subunit ribosomal RNA
Source: RNAcentral